GAUGAACGCUGGCGGCGUGCCUAAUACAUGCAAGUCGAGCGAACAGACGAGGAGCUUGCUCCUCUGACGUUAGCGGCGGACGGGUGAGUAACACGUGGAUAACCUACCUAUAAGACUGGGAUAACUUCGGGAAACCGGAGCUAAUACCGGAUAAUAUAUUGAACCGCAUGGUUCAAUAGUGAAAGACGGCUUUGCUGGCACGUAUAGAUGGAUCUGCGCCGCAUUAGCUAGUUGGUAAGGUAACGGCUUACCAAGGCAACGAUGCGUAGCCGACCUGAGAGGGUGAUCGGCCACACUGGAACUGAGACACGGUCCAGACUCCUACGGGAGGCAGCAGUAGGGAAUCUUCCGCAAUGGGCGAAAGCUUGACGGAGCAACGCCGCGUGAGUGAUGAAGGUCUUCGGUUCGUAAAGCUCUGUUAUUAGGGAAGAACAAAUGUGUAAGUAACUAUGCACGUCUUGACGGUACCUAAUCAGAAAGCCACGGCUAACUACGUG
Molecule: ribosomal RNA, 497 nt
Filed under: uncultured bacterium
Lineage: Bacteria
Description: partial 16S ribosomal RNA
Rfam family: Bacterial small subunit ribosomal RNA
Source: RNAcentral